Molecule: small RNA, 45 nt
Filed under: Chryseobacterium sp. Leaf394
Lineage: Bacteria; Pseudomonadati; Bacteroidota; Flavobacteriia; Flavobacteriales; Weeksellaceae
Description: Acido-Lenti-1 RNA
Rfam family: Acido-Lenti-1 RNA
Source: Rfam by way of RNAcentral
AAUAGGAUUGCAUCCUAUGCUUUAUUAAAUCGUCCCUUCGGGACU